UAAUACGGAGGGUGCAAGCGUUAAUCGGAAUUACUUGGCGUAAAGCGCACGCAGGCGGUUUGUUAAGUCAGAUGUGAAAUCCCCGAGCUUAACUUGGGAACUGCAUUUGAAACUGGCAAGCUAGAGUCUUGUAGAGGGGGGUAGAAUUCCAGGUGUAGCGGUGAAAUGCGUAGAGAUCUGGAGGAAUACCGGUGGCGAAGGCGGCCCCCUGGACAAAGACUGACGCUCAGGUGCGAAAGCGUGGGGAGCAAACAGGAUUAGAUACCCUGGUAGUCCACGCUGUAAACGAUGUCGACUUGGAGGUUGUGCCCUUGAGGCGUGGCUUCCGGAGCUAACGCGUUAAGUCGACCGCCUGGGGAGUACGGCCGCAAGGUUAAA
RNAcentral lists this ribosomal RNA (378 nucleotides) under uncultured bacterium. RNAcentral describes it as "bacterial SSU rRNA". It matches the Rfam family "Bacterial small subunit ribosomal RNA", at positions 521 to 898 of the family's 1533-position model. The record is from RNAcentral.